This 2361-nucleotide long non-coding RNA is filed under the name Mytilus galloprovincialis (Mediterranean mussel). Lineage: Eukaryota; Metazoa; Mollusca; Bivalvia; Mytilida; Mytilidae. The record is from RNAcentral.
GUUGAUCGUAAUUGUUCGUAUUAGUUGACUGUUAGUAGUUCAAGUUGACUUUAGUACGAGCUUGUAAAAGUAUGAAUGGACUUGCUUCCCUGGAAAGAAAACUGAGUUUGUGUUCUACAGUACAAAAAUCAGACAAAUGUUUACUACUACAGGGAUCAAUGGUGAGGUCUGACUGACCUGUCCAUAGUAAAUGUAAAUGACUCCCACCUUCACCCCAAGUCCAUGAUGUCUAAGUUUGGAAUAAAAUGACAGGUGUUAGGGUCUAGCAAAGUGAUAUGCAUAUGUGUCGCCUAUGAGAUUGACCUUGUAUGUCAUUCAAUCUUUUUUGAAAUGACAAACAGGAAUGAAUAUGGUUUAGGCGUUGGUAACUCAAUCUUUUACAAGUUCUCAAAACACACACAAGAGGGUGUGGGGUGACCCUAGGGACUACCCCUAUUUUUCAUUUGAUUUUUUAUAUUGUCCCAUACAUGAAUAUAUAUGGUUUAUGAGUGGGGAUCUCGACCGUUAUCAAGUUUUCAAACAGGAGGGGGUGGGGGACCCCAGUGACUUCCGUUAUAUUUCAUUUGAUAUGUUAUAUUGUCCAAUACAUGAAUAUAUAUGGUUGAGGGGUGGGGAUCUCAUCUGUUUCUAAUUUAUCAAACAGGAGUGGGUAGGGUGACCCUAAGGACUCUCCCUAUAUUUCAUUUGAUUAGUUCUCAUACAUGAAUAUAUAUGGUUUAAUUUAAAGGUGGGGAUCUGGACUGUUUCCAAUUUCUCAAUCAGGAGGGGUGGGGUGACUGCAGGGACUCCCCCUAUAUUUCAUUUAAUUUAGAGUUGGGGAUCCCAACUGUUUCCAAGUUCUUAAACAUGAGGGGUAGGGUGACCACAGGGACUUCCCCUAUAUUUCAUUUGAUUUGUUAUAUAGUCUUAUACAUGAGUAUAUAUGGUUAAGGGGUGAUGAUCUCUACUUUUUCCAAGUUCUUAAACAGGAAGGUGUACAGUGACCAUUGGGACCCCCUUAUAAGAUAUGUAAUAUUGUCCCAUACAUAAAUAUAUAUUAUUUAAGAUCAUUGUGGAUCUCGACCGUUAUAAAUUCUCAAACAGAAAGGGGUAGAGUGGCCCCACGAACUCCACCUAUAUUUCAUAUAAUUUGUUAUAUUGUCCCAUACAUGAAUAUAUAUGGUUUAGGGGUGGGGAUCUUGACCGUUACCAAGUUCUCAAACAGGAGGGGUGGAGUGACCCCCAGGGAAUCCCCCUAUAUUUCAUUUGAUUAGUUAUAUUGUCCCAUACAUGAAUAAAUAUGGUUUAGGGUUGAGGAUCUCGAAUGUUUCCAAGUUCUCAAACAGGAGGGUUUACAGUGACCAUAGGGACCCCUUAUUAUUCCUUUGAUUUGUAAUAUUGUCCCAUACAUCAUUGUACAUGAAUAUAUAUGGUUUAAGAUGGGGAUCUCAACCGUUUUCAAAUUCUCAAACCGGAAGGGGAAGAGUGGCCCCACGAACUCCACCUAUAUUUCAUAUGAUUUGGUUAUAUUGUCCCAUACAUGAAUAUAUAUGGUUUAGGGGUGGGGAUCUCGACCGUUUCCAAGUUCUCAAAUAUGAGGGGUGUGGUGAUCCCCGGGGACUCCCCUACAUAUUUCAUUUGAUUUGUUAUAUUGUCCCCUACAUGAAGAUAUAUGGUUAAGGGGUGGGGAUCUCGACCGUUACCAAGUUCUCAAACAGGAGGGGUGGGGUAACCCCCAGGGACUCCCCCUAUAUUUCAUUUGAUUAUAUAUAUAUUGUCCUAUACAUGAAUAAAUAUGGUUUAGGGGUGGGGAUCUCAACUGUUUCCAAGUUCUAAAAUAUGAGGGGGUGGGGUGACCCUAGGGUCUUCCUCUAUUUUGUAUUUGAUUAGUUAUUUAGUCUCAUACAUGAAUGUAUAUGGUUGAGGGGUGGGGAUCUCAUCUGUUUCAAAGUUAUCAAACAGGAGGAGGUAGAGUGGCCCAAUGGACUCCACCUAUAUAUUAAAUGAUUUGGUUACAUUCAGGUAUCAUAUAAUAUAGUUGCACUAUUUGUGCCUGUCCCAUGUCCGGAACCUGUUAGUGGUUGUCGUUUUUUUUUGUGUUACAUAUUUGUUUUUUGUUAAUUUUUUUAUAUAAAUAGGGCAGUUAGUUUUCUCGUUUGACUUGUUUUACAUUGUCUUAUCGGGGCCUUUUAUAGCUGACUAUGCGGUAUGGGCUUUGCUCAUUGUUGAAGGGUGUACGAUGACCUAUUGUUGUUAAUGUCUGUGUCAUUUUGGUCUCUUAUAGAUAGUUGUCUCAUUGGCAAUCAUACCAGAUUUUUUUUUUUUUAUAUAUAAGACGCUUCCAGCUAUUUUAACUGACCUAUCAAAAUUGAGAAGAAAAAA